RNAcentral lists this ribosomal RNA (414 nucleotides) under uncultured bacterium. RNAcentral describes it as "bacterial SSU rRNA". It matches the Rfam family "Bacterial small subunit ribosomal RNA", at positions 355 to 786 of the family's 1533-position model. The record is from RNAcentral.
UGGGGAAUAUUGCACAAUGGGGAACCCGUAGCAUGCAGCGACGCCGCGUGAAGGAAGAAGUAUCUCGGUAUGUAAACUUCUAUCAGCAGGGAAGAAAAUGACGGUAGCCGAGGAGGAAGCCACGGCUAACUACGUGCCAGCAGCCGCGGUAAUACGUAGGUGGCAAGCGUUGUCCGGAAUUACUGGGUGUAAAGGGAGCGUAGGCGGGAAGCAAGUUGAUUGUCUAAACUAUGGGCUCAACCCAUAGUCGCGAUCAAAACUGUUUUUGCUUGAGUGAAGUAGAGGUAAGCGGAAUUCCUAGUGUAGCGGUGAAAUGCGUAAAUAUUAGGAGGAACACCAGUGGCGAAGGCGGCUUACUGGGCUUUAACUGACGCUGAGGCUCGAAAGCGUGGGUAGCAAACAGGAUUAGAUACC